AUUUAUGUAGUUUAAAAAACAUUAUAAUUUCAUUAUAAAAUUAAUAAAUUUUAUUCAUAAAUA
This 63-nucleotide transfer RNA is filed under the name Megaspilidae sp. SJW-2015. RNAcentral describes it as "tRNA-Glu". RNAcentral also lists the same sequence under 1 other name. Lineage: Eukaryota; Metazoa; Arthropoda; Insecta; Hymenoptera; Megaspilidae. The record is from RNAcentral.